UUUCAACCCCCACCCCCACCCCCACCCCCAGGAAGAUGAGAGCAAGGUAAACUCCCGAGCCACAACUACCUCAUCUACAAAGUGGGCUACCUUCCUCUCGCGGGGCAGCAGCUCACCAGGGCCUGGGCUCAGAGGCCAGACCAGCUUCCCUUGCUGUGAAGCUGGGAGCAUCCUACUGUGAUGGAGGUGUGGCUGACCCUCUCUGGGCACAUAUCCUACCCUUCCUCCUCCUUCACAGCCUGCUUAAGGGGGAUUGGGAUCAUUAGGCAGAUCCAAACUGUGGUUUGGAGCUUUCGGGAAAACAAGCCCCAUCAAUGCAAUUUCCUUGUUAA
This 332-nucleotide non-coding RNA is filed under the name Pongo abelii (Sumatran orangutan). Lineage: Eukaryota; Metazoa; Chordata; Mammalia; Primates; Hominidae. The record is from RNAcentral.